Pongo abelii (Sumatran orangutan) is the source of this 333-nucleotide non-coding RNA. The record is from Rfam. Lineage: Eukaryota; Metazoa; Chordata; Mammalia; Primates; Hominidae.
AGAUGUGAGGGCGAUCUGGCUGUGACAUCUGUCACUUCAUUGGUCACCAGAGUUGAUUCAGCUGAUCUGGCUAGCUAGGCAGGUGUCCCCUUCCUCCCUCGCCACUCCAUGUGCGUCCCUCCCAAAGCUGCGUGUGGGUGAAGAGGAUGACCAUCCCCAAUAGGGGAGGAUCAGUCUUUGGUCAAGGGUACUACAAGUAGCUGCGCUCCCCUGCUAGAAUCUCCAAACAAGCUCUCAAGACUGGCUGCUUCUGUUUCUAUUAUAUUAUGAACUUGGAAAUUAUGGACUUUAGGAACAAGAAAAGAUUAAGGAAGUUUAAUUCCUUUAAUACUU